RNAcentral lists this ribosomal RNA (951 nucleotides) under uncultured bacterium. RNAcentral describes it as "bacterial SSU rRNA". It matches the Rfam family "Bacterial small subunit ribosomal RNA", at positions 523 to 1482 of the family's 1533-position model. The record is from RNAcentral.
AUACGUAGGUGGCGAGCGUUAUCCGGAAUUAUUGGGCGUAAAGAGGGAGCAGGCGGCACUAAGGGUCUGUGGUGAAAGAUCGAAGCUUAACUUCGGUAAGCCAUGGAAACCGUAGAGCUAGAGUGUGUGAGAGGAUCGUGGAAUUCCAUGUGUAGCGGUGAAAUGCGUAGAUAUAUGGAGGAACACCAGUGGCGAAGGCGACGAUCUGGCGCAUAACUGACGCUCAGUCCCGAAAGCGUGGGGAGCAAAUAGGAUUAGAUACCCUAGUAGUCCACGCCGUAAACGAUGAGUACUAAGUGUUGGGAGUCAAAUCUCAGUGCUGCAGUUAACGCAAUAAGUACUCCGCCUGAGUAGUACGUUCGCAAGAAUGAAACUCAAAGGAAUUGACGGGGGCCCGCACAAGCGGUGGAGCAUGUGGUUUAAUUCGAAGCAACGCGAAGAACCUUACCAGGUCUUGACAUCGAUCUAAAGGCUCCAGAGAUGGAGAGAUAGCUAUAGAGAAGACAGGUGGUGCAUGGUUGUCGUCAGCUCGUGUCGUGAGAUGUUGGGUUAAGUCCCGCAACGAGCGCAACCCCUGUUGCCAGUUGCCAGCAUUAAGUUGGGGACUCUGGCGAGACUGCCGGUGACAAGCCGGAGGAAGGCGGGGAUGACGUCAAAUCAACAUGCCCCUUAUGACCUGGGCUACACACGUGCUACAAUGGACAGAGCAGAGGGAAGCGAAGCCGCGAGGUGGAGCGAAACCCAUAAAACUGUUCUCAGUUCGGACUGCAGUCUGCAACUCGACUGCACGAAGAUGGAAUCGCUAGUAAUCGCGAAUCAGCAUGUCGCGGUGAAUACGUUCUCGGGCCUUGUACACACCGCCCGUCACACCAUGAGAGUCGGUAACACCCGAAGUCCGGUGGCCUAACCGCAAGGAAGGAGCUGUCUAAGGUGGGACUGAUGAUUGGGGUG